ACUCACUCCUCCUCCGCCUCCAGCGCCACCUCGUAUCUCCUCAUUCCCGACAUGUCCUGGGCUCCGAACGUCUCCUGGGGAGCGGCAUGAUUGAAUCAGGGAUUCCCUAGCCCCAGGUCCCCUUCUCCGUCAUUCUCAGGACGAGGCUGCCCAGUUCUCAGGUUGUUGUGGUGGUAUUACUACUACUCAGCAAGAUUCUGGUUUUACUUCUCAUCUUGGGAGUUACCAUCAAGACGUUAGGUAUGGCUGUGUGACCCACUUUGGCCAAUGAAAUGUGAACAGAAAUGGCAUAUGUCACUUGUGGACAAAAACAUUUAAGCAAGAAUUUCCCUUGCUGUCUUCCUUGACUGGAGCGACCAUGGAAGCCUGUGUUGAGAUGAAGAGGCUGCCAACAGAUCAAAACACUUGAAAACUUGAGCAGCCACAUGGACUACAACUGUGCUGGAGACUUGCCUGGACCCACAGCAGGCUUGGUAUGCAUGGGGAAUAGAAUUUUGUUGUAUUACACUCCUCAGAUUUGGAUGUCAUUUGUUAUUACAGCAUUACCUAGCCUAUUCUGAC
This 561-nucleotide long non-coding RNA is filed under the name Homo sapiens (human). RNAcentral describes it as "HSALNT0351753". Lineage: Eukaryota; Metazoa; Chordata; Mammalia; Primates; Hominidae. The record is from RNAcentral.